AUCCAGUUGGCGAGUCCCAAAUAGGACGAAAUGCGAAUCCUGGAU
This 45-nucleotide non-coding RNA is filed under the name Trichobilharzia regenti. Lineage: Eukaryota; Metazoa; Platyhelminthes; Trematoda; Strigeidida; Schistosomatidae. The record is from RNAcentral.